This 718-nucleotide unclassified non-coding RNA is filed under the name Hevea brasiliensis (rubber tree). The record is from RNAcentral. Lineage: Eukaryota; Viridiplantae; Streptophyta; Magnoliopsida; Malpighiales; Euphorbiaceae.
GGGAGGGACAAAACCCAACGACAGAGCCACAAACUAAUUUGAUACAGCCCUGGGCCAAGAAACAUCACGAGAGUUGGCAACCAGCAAAGGAACAACUUCACUUGGGGGAUCCUGCAAAACUAACAGACCUCCAUUCCCAUUGACAGCUAUAUUGGCAAGUCUAUCAGCAACUGAAUUAGCAUCGCGAAAGCAGUGAGGGAGCUUGAUCUCCCAUGAGCGCUGCAAAAACUGACGACAUUGAUUAACUGACGACAUUCGAAAGAACCUUUACCCAGAAUCAUAGAUAUCGCAAGCAUGCAUCGAAUCCAGCUGCACCUCAACUCGAUGAUAGCCCAACUGCCAGGACAAGCUUAAACCAUGAUAAAGUGCAUGUAAUUCAGCCUGAAUAGCAGAACAAAUCCCUAAGCGAAUCACAAACCCAGAUCGCCACAAGCCCAAAUGAUCUCCAAACACUCCACCUCCCCCUGCUUUACCAGGAUUUCCUCCACUAGCCCCAUCUGUAUUCAACCGAAUCCAACCCUUCCCAGGUGGAUACCAGUGAACUAGUGAAAUAGAAUGAGAAGAAGCAUUCUGCAGAGAAGUAACAUUGUUCGCACUCCAAGCAUCAGAAUUAGAUCUCAACUGGCUCAUAAUACAAGCAAGUUUAGAUUCAAUAGAAAGAACUUCCCCUCUAAACCGCUAAACCCAUAAUUGUUUCUCCAACACCAAAUCCAUAAUU